RNAcentral lists this unclassified non-coding RNA (176 nucleotides) under rhizosphere metagenome. RNAcentral's name for it is "partial ribosomal RNA internal transcribed spacer region". The record is from RNAcentral.
GUAGGUGAACCUGCGGAAGGAUCAUUACAGUGUUGGGCUUCGGCCUCAUUCACACCCCUUGUUUAACCUCUGGUUUCUUUGGCGAUCUCAAUCGUCAAACUUUAACUCUGAUAAUGUGGUACUGUCCGAGUCAAAUUGAAUUAUCAAAACUUUCAACAACGGAUCUCUUGGUUCCA